CCAUAGCUCAGCUGGAUAGAGCACGGGUCUUCUAAACCUGAGGCCGCAGGUUCGAAUCCUGCUGGG
RNAcentral lists this transfer RNA (66 nucleotides) under marine eukaryotic metagenome. It matches the Rfam family "tRNA", at positions 5 to 66 of the family's 71-position model. Rfam says of the family: Transfer RNA (tRNA) molecules are approximately 80 nucleotides in length. Their secondary structure includes four short double-helical elements and three loops (D, anti-codon, and T loops). Further hydrogen bonds mediate the characteristic L-shaped molecular structure. tRNAs have two regions of fundamental functional importance: the anti-codon, which is responsible for specific mRNA codon recognition, and the 3' end, to which the tRNAs corresponding amino acid is attached (by aminoacyl-tRNA synthetases). tRNAs cope with the degeneracy of the genetic code in two manners: having more than one tRNA (with a specific anti-codon) for a particular amino acid; and 'wobble' base-pairing, i.e. permitting non-standard base-pairing at the 3rd anti-codon position. The record is from RNAcentral.